Molecule: long non-coding RNA, 7258 nt
Organism: Piliocolobus tephrosceles (Ugandan red Colobus)
Lineage: Eukaryota; Metazoa; Chordata; Mammalia; Primates; Cercopithecidae
Exons: 3
Source: RefSeq, a predicted model, not a curated record
GGAAAAAAGCAACAGCCACAGGGAGGAGGGAGGGGAGGAGGGGGAGUGAGACAAGGAGGGAGGGGAGGAGUCGAAAACCAACACAACAAAGUGAAAAGAGAAAUGAGAAAUGGAGUUUUGUAAGUUUCGGGGUUAAAAAUAGCAGAAGUUUCAAAAAUUACUCACAGGCGUCCAGAAGACAAAUCAUAAUCGAAACAAAAACGGAAGCCAGGUUAAAGGAAAGCGAAAGGUCGGGCGGCGCGGCCCAGAACUCAAAUGUGAUCCACAACCGAGGAGGAAGCAGCUGCGGGCGGCGGGGAGGGGGCAGGGGUGGGCGGGGGUGUUGGGGGGACAGCAUGGGCAGCCGAUGUGGCGGGGAGCCGUGUCUGCUCCGGCCGCCGGGCACCCCUGUGGCUUGGGGGCAGGAUGGGAGGUGGUCACAGCCGGGAUCGGGGGACCUUUGCCCAGAGUGGCUGUCGGGUGGGGGGUCCCCUUCUCUCCUCCCGACCUCCCCGCCCGUGAGCCCAGCCUGGGGUCACUUGCAGCCGCACCCACCUGCCGGUGCACCAUGUGCUCUCGGCCCUCGCUGGGCGAGCGGGACCAGCGCUGGUCCCGGGCCCGCGCCCGGCCGUGGUCUGGCCGUUCCUGGGCAUAGCGGUCCUUGUCAGGGGGCGGGGGAUGGUGGUGGUGGUGGUGGUGGUGGUGCUGUCGAUGCUUCCGAUCCUUGGGCCGGCCCCGCUCCUGGUCCCGCUCCUUCGACGGCAGGUCCCCGGAUUGAGUGGUCAUGCUCAGGUCCGUCCCCAAGCCUGGGCCGGGUGAGGGUCGGACAGACAGACAGACAGACAGGUGGUCGUGAGGGAGAGGUGGUGCAGCUGCAUACACAGGAGGCCACCGGGAGGGUGUAGGGCCCUAGGGAUCCCCUAGACCCAGGCAGGUCAGUGGGUCGGGGGGAGGGGGCAGUACCCAGGUUCCUGCAGCCACUGCCUGGCCCCCUCUGUUCCCUCUGCAUGGAGGCCUUUCCCUUUCUUCUUCCUCAGUGUCUCCCCCGCCCUGCCUUCUCCUCCCCUCUCCUCUGUUCCGCUUGUCCCUGAGCCCCACGGGGCUGCCCAUCUGUGUCCAUGUCGGUGCCCACCUGUGUCCACGUCGGUGUAGCGGCCCAGGGAGCGCUCAGAGGUGCGGUGGCUGCGGUCGCGGCGCCGCUGGUGGUGCCGCUGGUUCUCCUCCGGUGGGACCCGCUCCAGUGAGUAGUCAUCCAGGCGUCGGGCCUUGGGGCCCAGCACGGAGGCUGAACGCUUCAUGGGGCUGGUGUCUGAGAUGGUCUGGGGGGGGACAGGCCAGUGGGCUGGGGUCAGCAGCUAGCACCAAGUGGUCCCGGUCCUUCCUGCCCCAUCGCGGCAGCCUGGCGGCGGCCUUUGGUGACUGGCGUGUGACCAUCCCGGGGCAGGGGCCAGGGGGUGCCGCGGGGCCUUGGCUCCCCCUGAUCAAUCAGGGCUCAGAGUGUGGCCAGGCCUCUGAGGGUGGAGCGUGAGGACUCCUCUGUCCCUCGGAGACAAGACGCUCCUUUUGAGCCCAUCCUGGGUUCUGACCAGAAAGAUCUGACCCUCAUCCUCCAGCCCCGGGGCCCAGCCAGGGUUGAGCAGCCUCAGGCUGGCCAGAGGGAAGCCCUGCCCUCAUACAUCCAGGGUGCAAACCUGGGAGCCCCGACUGCUGCCCUCAUCCCUGCCCCAGCUUUCUCUCCUGGGACGGUGAGAAGCCUCCGACUCUGUGGCUGGCUGACCUAUGGACUCAGGACCAGGUGCCUGGUAGGGCAGCUCCAGGUCCUCCCCGCUAACGGGGCUGUGCUCGCUGCCCCCACAAGUCUGAGUCCUUCUGGUGAGGCCCAAGCUAGGGAGCUCUGGGUGGGGGUGGGGGAUACCCAGGCACCUGAGGCUCUGGGGACCCACUCUUUUCCCCAGUGCUGCACCCCUGGGUCAAGCCCUGACACAGAGGUUUCUCUGCAGCAGGCAGAGGAGGGAGAUGGGGCAAAUGUCCGCCUCCCAAGGUCCAGCCCAGCUGAGCACUGGUGGCCCUGCUCCAGGUAGGAGCUGCAGCACCAGGGGUCGGUGGUGGUGGUAGGGCAAGAAACCCCCAAGAAAGAGGUGCAGGGUGGGCCAGGCUCUUGGAGAGCCGGUGUCCUCUGGCAUGGGGGGCCCUGAAGAAAAGGGGGUAGGAGUGAGGAUGGGGAUGGCCCCGCCCACCAGGGCGUAUGGGUUGGGGGCACACACAGGACACCACACACAAGGAUUGGGCUCCAUGGGGGGAGAGGGUGAGAUUGGCAAAGAAAGGGUGGGGUCUGGGAUCGGUGAGAGAUGACGGGACUCCCUGGAGGGGGGGUGGGGAGGAAGAGGGGGCCGGAGCCCUGCUGGGCGCUGGGCAGGCGCAGUACAUACACUGAGGUUAUUCCCACGUGGCCGGCCCCUUCUCCUCUGUCACAGCCCCAUGGGAUGGUGCACACAGAAAAAACAGAAAGAAGAAAAUAAAUAUAAAAGGCAAGAGGGAGAGUGAGGAGGUGGUGCAUGGAGAAGAAGCCAGGGAGGGGGUGGCACUGGCAUCAAGAGAAAUCGGAGGGAGAAGGCAGGAAGGAAAAGAAAAGUUAAAGUCCUGGCGGGUGGGUGUCCUGGGCCCCCAGGGCUGGAUGUCCUCCAUUUCCAUGGGUACAGAGGAGACAGACAGGAGACACAGACAGACAGAUGGCAGAGGCACGGGACCGAAAGACGGGACGGUGCAGCCUCGAGCCCCUGGCCCUGGGCUCUGCCUCAUGCGAUGCACACCCCAACCCCUGGCUCCAGCCGAUGCUCAAAGCUUCCACGUGGUGGCUGUCAGCUGGGCUUGUCCCAACCCUCUCCUGGGGCCCAGCAGCUCAGUCCUGAGGGGGCAGCAGCAUGCACACUGGGUGCUCUCCAACCCAUGUUCCCAGCAGCCAGAGGCCAGGCCCUCAGGUGACCCUGGUCCAGCCAGGCACAGCACAGCCUCCUGCCCCGUGCAGACGCCGCACACAGCACACAGAAAGCUCCCCACAGCCACACAUGCCACGCGCCCGGGCCAGGCUCUUGAAGCCACGCCCUGUUCUCCUCCAGAGGCGGGCUGUGUGCAUGGGGCCGCUGCUGCUCAGGCCUGGGGGGCAGCCAGCUAUGCCUCUGGGCCCUCUGUCCCAUGAGUCCAGGGCAACUGGAUCAUCUGCAGGUGGGCCUGGCAGCUGGGUGAAGCGGCCACACAGACACACAUCAAGCACACACCCCUGUCCCCCCCAGUGACCCCCACAGAGACCAGACAGAAAAUAAGAACCCAGCUGCCCCCAGACCCACCCCGGACUCUGCUACUUCAUCCUAGGACCUGUCAAGUUCCCAUAUACAGACACGUGUGCACGUACAUGUGUGCAUGUGUGAGUACAUGUGCAGUGUAUAUGCCCACGUGCACACGCAUGUGUGUGUAUGCAAGCAUCUGAGUAGGCGCACACUGCACAUGUGUGCAUGCAUGUUGAGCAUGUGUGUGUGUGUUUGUGUAGGGGUGAUCUUCGUGGCAGGUCUCACCUGGCCCUGUUGAACCCUGCUGCACCCACUAAUCUUCCACAACCUCCUUGUCUGCAACCUCCAACCAGGGCAGCCAGAGACCAUUUUGCAGUGGCCACUGCCCUCUGCCCCAGGGCAGCACUUUCCUCUCUGUCCUCUGUGAGGGAGGAGGGUCUGCCGGUGCUCCAGGUGUGGCCAGGUAGUGGGUGGGGCCUGCAGACUGCUUCAGAGGCCCAAGGAGUCUCUACCCAGGCCUGAGUCCGGCAGGGAGGGGAUGCACUGGGCUGCUUGUUGCGGGGGGCCCGGCCCCACCCGGUGCAGAGUUAGGGGUCCGGCCCCAGGGCAGUGGUGAAAGCCCUCACCUGGUUCUCUGCAGGGAGGCGGGGCAUGGAGGCGGCCCGGCCCUGGCCUUCCAUGGGGAGGUAGUGCUCGCUGUCGGAGUAGCCAUCUCUGCCCAUCUCUCGCAUCUCCACGGACUGCGGAGCAGAUGGCGAAGCUGGAUGAGCCCUGGGGCCUGACCUCCAGAUCCCUGGUGUCUGCAGAUGGAGGGAGCUGCAGAUGGGGAAGUUGGAGAGAAUGGGAGCACAUGGAGGAUACAUGCACUUCCAGGAGCAAAAAGCUAAAAAGCCAGUGAUAAAACAAGACCUCAGUCCUACAGCCACAAGGACUUCAAUUCUGCCAACACCUGAAUGAACCUGGAAGUACAUUCUCCCCCAGAUCCUCCAGAGAGGAGCCCAGCUUGGCUGACACCUUGAUUUCAGCCUCGUGAGACCCUCAGCAGACAGCCCAGUACAGCUUCUUGGACUUCUGACCUACGGGACUGUGAACUGACAAAUGGGGCCGUGCGGAUCAGAGCCAUGAGGGUGGAAUUGAAGUGGACGGUGUUGUCAUCUGCGACGGGCAGGUCCAUCCGCAGAAGCCGCUACAGAAAACCGAAGGCAAGCGCAGUCAUUCCCAGGCAUCUCUCCUGGGUCUCCCGUGAGCCACGCCCACCCCUACCCAGGGAGUCUGAGGAAGAACUCUGAAGGCUGCAGUGGCUGAGGUGUCCCUCACUCAGGUUACCUGUCCCAGUACUCUGUUUCUCUUGGUGGCCCGUAGGGAGGGCACAAAAGGCUCUCCUGUAUUUCUGGUCCCCUGCCCUCUCCUUUUUCCCCCCACCUGCUUGACCUGACAGCUGGCAUUUCCAGGGUUAGCCUCAAUCCUUGCCCCACCCCCGCCCCACCCCGCCCCAGAGUUCUUCUGGACGGCCCUGUUUCGGUCUGACCCCAAAGAAAAAGAGCACAAGCUGGAUUUGAGCAGCGCGUGCAACAGCCAAGGCUGACGGGGCCAGAACCACAGCCGCUGGUGGGGGGCGCCGCCGGCUCCCCACCCCCAACCCGUCUUGGCCCAGACCAGAUGGGCAUAGACCACACCAUUCCUCUGAGAAGCAGCAGGCAGGCAGCCCCCCACUGACGGGGCAGGCCCCUCGCAGGCAUGCAGCAAGGCUGUGACACAGAACAGCACAGACAGGGGUGCAUGCAGACGGAAUCUCGAGACUCAUUCAUAGCUCCGUGGGAAGUGUAUCUCAGGGACAUGUCCGGAUCUUGGCUCUCUGUGCAAUGGCAGGGGGAAGGGGUGAGGGGCAUUCCCUUCCAGCCCAGGGAAGAAAAGAUUCCCCAUGUCCCAGGCAGGGGCUCUGUCCACCACGCUUGGUGGCAUGGGAGAGGACGCUGGGCUGGUGUGCACCAGCCCAGGCUGAGGUGGCACAGAGAAGGGGGGUGAGGGUGACUUGGGUGGUGAUUCAGACACAUGUGGGCAGGAAACACAGAGCUGAAGAUGGGGAGGGGUAUGGUAAAUCCAGAGCAGGACAGUAGAGGGGACACUGGGGGCAGGGUGGGGAAGGAGGUGGGAAAUAGAGAAACACACACAGACUGGGCCACUGUGCACAGUUGUGCAGGUUGUACACUGCACAAAGGGCUCCCAUCUUGGAAAUGAUAGAUGUAUGUACUUAUUUAUUAAAAUAGUUUUUCUUUUUGUAGAGAUGGGGUCUUGCUAUGCUGCCCAGGCUAAUUGCGAACUGGGCUCAAGUGACCCUCCCAUCUCAGCCUCUCAAAGCACUAGGAUUACAGGCAUGAGCCACCACACCCCGCCCCUGAUUUGUGUACUAAAUAUAACAGCUUCUCAGCUGAUAGAAAGAAAGUGUCUUGUUCUCACCACAUUGGUGAAUUGCAACAAUUUUCCAACAGACAUGUUCUGUGAAAAGGGUGCCUUUUUCAAAUUUGCACACAGUUGUCUUAUGGACCCAUGGUGGCCUGCACAAAGACCGGGAGAGGAAGGGCUUUCUGUCCCUCUCUUGCACAUGCGCACACAUUCAUCUAAGCAGAGACUGAGAGAAGCGAGUUGAGGAAAACUGUGUGUGUGGAGUGGGGGGUGGGGGGCGGAGCAACAGGUGCCAGGAGAGGCUCACUGUCUGAGAUGCUGGUGGGACAACCUUGUCCCUGGCUUUGAUUGAGAAGUGAGGGGAGACAUAGAGGUUAGGUGAGGAGGGGUACACAGAGGAAGGAAAGGAAUGAGGUGGGGAGGCGGCAACAUGGGGCGGGUACAAAUAGCACUGAUGGAUGGGGACGCAGGGAAGAUCAAGGUGGAUGGGAGAAUAGGAUGAUGGGGUAAUAUUUUUUGGGCGGGGAGAAUCUUUAGGGGUCAUCCCUGAACUUCUUGUGGAUGAGUGGAGGAAACAGAGCAUCUGUCCUUGGGCGCCAAGGGAGAUUCCAGGACGGGGAUCUGGAGGGGUGGCCCGGCCCAGCCGCUUGGCGGCAGGACGCUUGCUCUCUCAGCCAGCAUGCACCACCCCCCGUCGGCCAUGGUGCCUGCCCGCCCCAGGCCCCGCCAAGGCAGCGUGCAUGGCCUGCAUCAGUGUGCCACCGUCCAGGGGUCCAACUGCGGCCGCCUGCCCACUCUGGAACAAUGGAGAGGCAUGUUGGGGUGUCUUGGGGGGGAGUUAGGGACGGGGGCUGGGGACAAAACUCCACGGGAGGGAAAGGAGGGGAAGAGAGGUUCUUGGUGCUUCUUGGAAGGUCUCGAAUCCCCCAAGGCCCUAGGUCAGAGAUCAGCUUCAGGUAUGUGUAGCAGGGGCGGGGACCUGGGGGCUCGAGGCACAAAAGAUGGGACGGGGACUUCCCCUGCUUUUGGGGGCUAAAACCCCUCUCUGCAAGGCGCCUGCCCCAGCCUGGGCAUGGGGGCCGCUCUGGGUGGGCAAAAGUGGGAGGCGUGGGUUUUGACUUCCCGAAGAAGCGUGUUUGUUUCCAAUUUGGUACCUGGGAGACCAGGUGCAAGGGGACCUGGGCGCUCCCCUCCCCCACCCCCAGCGUGUCGGCCAUAAUGGAGUCUCAAAACACGAAGACACUCAUCAGAAAGGACGGACACAGUGUGCUGCUUAGAAUCAAGGGAUGAUCAUGAUCAGUUUACUCGAGAAAAGAAAAAAAAGAAUCAAAAACAAAAAAGAGAAACGUUGGAAAAAGAGAGUCGGCCGGGUGUUUCUGGUCAGCACUAAAAAAAAGAAGAAGAAGAAGAAAAAAAAAAACCCAGUGCCCGGACGUCGGUGGUCGGCAAGGGUAGUCUACCUUGUAAGCCACUCUGGCCGGACACUUCUUCCCCAGACCCAGGGGCGGAGACAUGUGUCUCAGCAUCUGAUACAUGUCCAGGUAAGGCAUGCGGCCCCUGGCAGCACCGAAAACGGAAAAAAAAAAAAAAAA